CCUACGUGAGGCAGCAGUGGGGGAUUUUGCACAAUGGGGGAAACCCUGAUGCAGCGACGCCGCGUGAGUGACGAAGUAUUUCGGUAUGUAAAGCUCUAUCAGCCGGGCAGAAAAUGACAGUACCUGACCACGAAGCCCCGGCUAACUACGUGCCAGCAGCCGCGGUAAUACGUAGGGGGCAAGCGUUAUCCGGAUUGACUGGGUGUAAAGGGCGCGUAGACGGCAGCACAAGUCUGGAGUGAAAUCCCGGGGCGUAACCCCGGAACUGCUGUGGAAACUGUGCGGCUGGAGUGCAGGAGGGGUAAGCGGAAUUCCUAGGGUAGCGGUGAAAUGCUUAGAUAUUAGGAGGAACACCGGUGGCGAAGGCGGCUUACUGGACUGUAACUGACGUGGAGGCUCGAAAGCGUGGGGAGCAAACAGGAUUAGAUACCCGGGUAGUC
This 440-nucleotide ribosomal RNA is filed under the name uncultured bacterium. Its description in RNAcentral is "partial 16S ribosomal RNA". It matches the Rfam family "Bacterial small subunit ribosomal RNA", at positions 338 to 795 of the family's 1533-position model. The record is from RNAcentral.